This 370-nucleotide long non-coding RNA is filed under the name Lathyrus oleraceus (garden pea). RNAcentral's name for it is "Pisum sativum (pea) long non-coding RNA (PSAT_LNC012140)". The record is from RNAcentral. Lineage: Eukaryota; Viridiplantae; Streptophyta; Magnoliopsida; Fabales; Fabaceae.
AAUAUCAAAUGACAAAAUAAAAAAUAUUAAAAAUUAAAAUUAGAAACUAGAAUUUAUUUGGAGAAGAAUGAAAUUGGUCUCAUAUUUUUUGGAAUAAAAAUGAAGAAGAUAUGAAUUUUUGAAAAUAAAAGAAAUUAAAUGAAAAAAAUAGAAAAAUCAAAAAAACCAGGAGCGUCUGAUCAAGCCUCAUUAAUUGACGUGGCUGAUCAAACGCUCCAUAUGCGCGCUUCCAUGGUAGGCUUCAGUCAAAUGCGUCACAUAUGGUAUUAAAAAGAGUCAUAAGAAACAAAGGUGGAGAUUAGAUCGUGGUCAAUUAAUCCAAGGGCUGUGAAGCCAUCCACGUGUGGACGGUGGUGGAAACCACCGUCUU